Molecule: ribosomal RNA, 176 nt
Filed under: Salmonella enterica subsp. enterica serovar Reading
Lineage: Bacteria; Pseudomonadati; Pseudomonadota; Gammaproteobacteria; Enterobacterales; Enterobacteriaceae
Description: partial 16S ribosomal RNA
Rfam family: Bacterial small subunit ribosomal RNA
Source: RNAcentral
AAAUUGAAGAGUUUGAUCAUGGCUCAGAUUGAACGCUGGCGGCAGGCCUAACACAUGCAAGUCGAACGGUAACAGGAAGCAGCUUGCUGCUUUGCUGACGAGUGGCGGACGGGUGAGUAAUGUCUGGGAAACUGCCUGAUGGAGGGGGAUAGCUACUGGAAACGGUGGCUAAUACC